CAGUAAUUGAUAUAGAAAGACCCACUCUAUUAUAUCAAAACCACAUUGCAAGUGAAAUUUGCACUGGUGACAUCUCUCUUUUCAAUUCCAAACCUGCAUUUUACAUGGUUUUGAGAAGAAUGUUUUAGUGGUUGAGACAGAAUUUGUUGAAGUUCUAGCAUUCAGUGGCCUUUCAGCAGUGGAUGCUGUCAUGGAGGUUUAUUCGGCCUGCGAGGAACUUAGGUGUGAUGGAACAGGUUGGAUGUUAAAUUAAGGGAAAUGCAGUAUUGUUAAAUUUGCAUGCCCUGAUGAUCUAGUUUGCUUUUCCCAGCAUAUGAUUCUUUAUCAUGUUUUAAUUUGUUGAUUGUGGUUUAUUUGUGAUUGUGCUUGAUUUGAUGGUCAAGGUGUAUGGGUAUUCCAAGUGGGAGAUCAGUUUGUUUAGGUCUUAGUUUUCAUGCUACAGAGGAAAAACAUGUCAAACCAAUUUAAUAGUUCAUUUCAUGUUUCUGAGUUUAUGUUUUAUCAACACACUAGUUUUUAGAUUUAGAGUAGAUUGGUUUGUAUCAGUAUAUGUCCUUUCUUGUAAUCAUAACCCAUGUUCUUGUAACAAAAAUCAUCAAAGGCAUCCAAUGAAACUUUCUGCUUAUAAAUUUGCCUCUCCUUUUUGUUUCAUUCUUUUUCUCCUUUAUUUUGAGUGGUGUUGGUAAUGUGCAAUGAAGAUCAAGUCAGAAAGCCUUUAAUGCUACUCCAACGAACCCCUGAGCCUGGCAGUUGUUGUACUGGGCCUUCUUUAUUUCUUGAUUCAUGUACACAUAUCUCUUCUUAUCUCCAUAAAUUCUUCUGCAAUCCACUGUUACAUGCAUCAUACCUUGUCUUCGGGAAAUCUUUCUUUUUUAUAAUUUUGACUCAAUCUUUUUGUCUUAUUACCUUUUAUGCCUUUUAUUAGAGAAAAGCUGAGCAUGUUUUCUGCUCUUCAGUAGCUUAUCAUUUUCUUCAGUUGUAUUGAUUGCAUUUUAGAGUUCAAAAGCUUUUAAUAUGUGAUACUUUAGAGUUCAAAAAAGAUUUUAAGCAGCUAAAAGUCAUCAAAUCAAAACAAUGCAAAAAGGCCCCAGGUGGGUCCAAUGUUGUUGCACUUGCCUAACUAUUUAGAGGGUGAUAGUUUUCUCCAACCCCCAUAAUUAAAAGGGGGGAGGACAAAAUGAAUGGUCCAUCACUUUUUCAUAGUGAUUUUCCAUUAAGAAACUAAAAGAAACACAUCAAUGAAAAAUCAAGAUCUUCAUUGUUGAAUUAUGGAGGCUAAGACUGCUAGUCUCUUUCCCACACUUUUAAUGGCUCCACUUAGAAGUUCAUAUAUGUUGCUGUUUUUUGGUUCACUAAGUGGUAUCUAUGGUUUGGUGGGACUAAAAUUGAUUUCAUUACCUUAUAGGAGGCAUUAGGCCCUGUGUUGUCUCUCACCUAACCUUAAAAAGAGAGAUAUGAGUCAUACCUACAACAUACACUGCCUGUAUACAUGAAAAAUUUGGCUUGGCCUAGGGGUAACUUGGAAUUGAAAGAAACACUAAGUGGUGACUGAUGAGGGACCACAUUGGAUAUUUUUCUACAUUGGGGACUGGACCCAAAUCCCCAACCAUUAGUAUGAAACCAAAAAAUUACCUCAACUCAGCUAGAUAAAGAGGCUCACUAGUUUGCAAAGAAAAGCAAAGAUUAAAAAGAAAAAGAGGCUCACUAGUUCACAAAUCUUCCAAGAAAAAGAGCAGAAAGUGCUGCAUCAAUCUUACUUUCUAGCUUGUUUAUUUUAAAGACCAAUUGAGAUGCGCAGCUAGUCAACUACAUGGGUUAAUUUCUUUUUUAAUUAGCUUAUUUUUACAUUUGUUUUUCUAUAAAUCAAAGUACCUAUGGGAUAAAUCUUUUCACUAUCAAAAAUUAAUUUUUUCUCCUCCACCGUAUGGCCCAUAAUACUGUCACCAGGAUAGUGGACAACCAUUUGUUCUGUUCUUUGUCAAAAGGCUUGAUGGUCAACACGGUGAUCUAGUUAUGAAGGUUGUGAGGGUUGAGAAGAUCUACUCUUAGGUCAAAUUAGAUCCAAGCCACACAGCUUUGCCAAAGGGGAACUUGAGGAAAAGUUGAUCAAAACUUUCUUCCUCUUGAUUGCAAAAGAGGACUUGUCUUAUAUGGUUUCAGCCAGAGUUUGGUCCUGAGCAGCAGCGAAAGACUUGUCUUUUCAAAAAAAUGUACUCAUGUAUGCAUAUUGUUUAGUUCGUGCAUAGAGUUACAAAAUCUCUUAUAUUCUUAGUUAAUUAGGGUAUCAUGCAUAUGAACCAUCUGAGGUAUGAUUGUUUCUUUUUUCUUGAUAGGAACUUUUAUACUUGUUCUAUAUAGUGUUGAAAUGAUGUAAUUGUCCUUUUUUCGUUGAAUAAAUUCUUAUAAAAAAAAUAUAAUUACUUCGGUGCAAGAUAUAUACAUAUUAGUAGACGUAAAUAUAAAAGGAAAAUGUUUACCAAUAAAAAAAUAUAAAAAGAAAAUGGCCCUUUUGGAUGUAACCUGCUAUUAUUUGAGAAGUCCUCCCUCCCCUUGCAAGUGAAUUACUUAAUAUUUAAGCUUUGUUGUCUUAUGUAAUUGUUUAAAAUCUUUUCUUGUCCUACUUUGGUUCAGUUCCGGACUACAUUAUUAGUAGAUUUAUUUUCUUUUACUUAAGGUAUUGAGUUUUAACAUUGUUUACAAUUUGCCUGAUCAAUAAAAUUUCUAUUCGAUAUAUGUUUUUAAUGGUUUAUUUUUCACUGGGUAUAUGCAUGGCAUGGGUGAUGGUUUAUGGGCCAGGGCCACUGAUCUCAUUCUCAUGUUUGACCAUUUUGAAGUCUGGAAUGGGGGGAAUGAAAGUGUAUUAUGUACGCUAAUAUAUACUUUGGAAUCAAGGCAUUAAUAUUUCAGCUAGACCCUUUUUUUUUCCCCUCUAUUUAAUGAUGCUAUAUCCUCUCUUUCCCCAUAUUUUUAUGGGUUAAAUUAACCAAGCUUGUGUAAUUUUUUUGUACUUUUUAAAUUUCAUUUUAAGGAAUGUUAUGUUGUUUAUGAAGCAUAUAUAUAUAUAUAUAUAUAUACAUAUAUAUAUAUAUAUAUAUAUUUUAAUAAAAUCAUGUUAUGUGAACAUGAUUAUUGUUGGGUGGUGAAGAAAGUUCUUUUUUGACACUUAACUUCUAGUCUUCUUUCAUCACUCAAGAUUCUAGGGAUUGGGAUCUUUUAGUAAAAAAAUUUGAAGUCAUUUGAUGUCCCGGCCCUAAAUUAUAUGGGGGAUGAAGGUCGUGCACCCUUGCCCUUUCAACUAACUAAGGAGAUGCAUUCGAUUGGUAUCUAUUCUCGGCUUGACCAAGUUUUUAAUGCUCCUAAUGCUGUUAAGGAGGUUUGGACUGGUCAAUUUGGUUUGGAUCGUUCAUACGUAGGGUCCAAGGAAACUGAUCAAAAUGCUGUGCUGUGACUUUGUUUGCUGGUAUAUGUCACAGGAAAACCCCAAGGUGAAUUGAACUUUUCAAUGCAGCAGUGGCUCCAAAGGUCUAUUGGGCUGAGCCAUCUGACCAGGAAAAGGAAGAAAAAAGAAAAGAGCGGCUAUGGCUAAAUUAAAAAGGUAGCUAGUAUAGUGUGUGUGUAUACUCCCACACUCAGGAUGUUAUUAACAAUGUUACCUGUGACUUCUCGAAUGCCUCAUAAGGCACUGCUACCUUUGUUGUCUAAGCUCAAGCUCAAGCUCCUGCUUAAGCUACUGCAUUUGCUAAGUCAUCUACUAAGUCAAAAAAAGAAGUCUGCCUUCGAUGGACUUAGUAAAACUACCUUGAUUGCCUUGUUAAAAUAGCUUUGGAAGCAUGAAGAGGAAGUUGCAAAUGCUAACUUGGGACGAUGAAGAUGAAGAAGAAUUCAAAGCAUCAUCAGAAGCCUCUUUUUCUAAGAAAGAUGAUCCUUAUUACACUUAUGAUCAGGCACUUUUUUGUCAUAAUCCUGUUUCCACCCCUGAUUUAGUUGAUGAUUCUGUUGGCACAUGUUGACAAAACUGCUACAACCAAUGUUGAUGAGAGACUUAUUGGAAGAACUACUCUCAUAUACUUUUGACUACUUUUUAUGAAUGUGAAAUGAAUAGUAAAAGACUUUUGAUGCUCCCCACCAUGCAAAAAAUGCCAAGAUGCUUUUGUGUUCUCAACU
Molecule: long non-coding RNA, 4164 nt
Organism: Quercus lobata
Lineage: Eukaryota; Viridiplantae; Streptophyta; Magnoliopsida; Fagales; Fagaceae
Exons: 5
Source: RefSeq, a predicted model, not a curated record